This 873-nucleotide long non-coding RNA is filed under the name Struthio camelus australis. Its description in RNAcentral is "lncRNA (ENSSCUG00000014147.1)". The record is from RNAcentral. Lineage: Eukaryota; Metazoa; Chordata; Aves; Struthioniformes; Struthionidae.
AAUACUCUGUCGGCCAGACUGUUUUCUCCACUAAAGAGUCACCACCUCCUCCUCCUCCCUCUCCUCUGGCGAAAUGGAGGAGAGGUUUGUUAGCAGAGGAGUGCAACACUUCCAGUUUGCCAAAUAAGAUUCCAGGUUUACUUUAUAUUUUGAAACAAAAUGGAAGACAUUGUUCCAGCCCUGGGAAAUCAACGGUCUGUAGAAAUGACUUUAGAAGCCCUUAAAGAGGCCAGCUUUAAAGGAUUUCAUCUACAAGCUCGAGAAGUGGAAGGAGAUGUUCCUGUUGGUACUUUUAAAAUUACAGAUCAAAACACAAAAGGCUUGGAUUGUCAUAACGUGACGAAUUCAGCUGUAAGUCAUGCAAAUUCAGAUGCGAAACAGAAAGUUACAACAACGUGGAUUGCACCACAUGAUAUUAGAGAUCUUCAGUUUAUCGCAACUGUUGUUCAAGAUCUAGAGAAAUUUUGGGUCGGAGUUCAAAGCAAAACCCUCACACCUACACAUUCUGAGUCAGUUAAUGGGACAGGAAGAAGUAAGAGGAAGAUUAUGAUAGAAAUAGAAUGUGCCAAGCGUGGAGGGACUUACACACCACAAAGUGGAUGCGUCCUAGUUGGACCCUCCGGUUCCUCUCGGAACAGCUAUACAAGUGGUCAGAGUGGAGUAGUCUACUCAAUAAGCAAGAGCGGAUGUGUCCCAGGAGGGACUGCUGAUGCAUACAGCAGACAUGCCUGCAAAGAUAGUGCAUCCUCAUAUAGACCUGGUCUUACCUAUGGCCAGUCUGUCCCUGCAAGCAGUUCAGAUUCCAGUAAGAAGGUAAGCACUCCUUUUCUUUUUAAUUCAAAGGGAAAAAAAAUCUUACAGAUGUAACUUGGC